CAGUCGCCGCGGUAAUACGUAGGGUGCGAGCGUUGUCCGGAAUUACUGGGCGUAAAGAGCUCGUAGGCGGUUUGUCGCGUCGUCUGUGAAAUUCUGCAGCUUAACUGUAGGCGUGCAGGCGAUACGGGCAGACUUGAGUACUACAGGGGAGACUGGAAUUCCUGGUGUAGCGGUGAAAUGCGCAGAUAUCAGGAGGAACACCGGUGGCGAAGGCGGGUCUCUGGGUAGUAACUGACGCUGAGGAGCGAAAGCGUGGGUAGCGAACAGGAUUAGAUACCCCAGUAGUCCCUGUCUCUUAUAC
This 301-nucleotide ribosomal RNA is filed under the name uncultured bacterium. RNAcentral's name for it is "partial 16S ribosomal RNA". It matches the Rfam family "Bacterial small subunit ribosomal RNA", at positions 509 to 807 of the family's 1533-position model. The record is from RNAcentral.